CGGAGGGAGCGAGCGUUGUCCGAAGUUACUGGGCGUAAAGCGCGCGUAGGCGGGGGAUUAAGUGAGAAGUGAAAGGCUGAGGCUCAACCUCAUGCAGUGCUUCUCAUACUGGUUCUCUUGAGGGUGGUAGAGAGAAGUGGAAUGGCUGGUGUAGCGGUGAAAUGCGUAGAUAUCAGUCGGAACACCAGUGGCGAAGGCGGCUUCUUGGGCCAUUACUGACGCUGAGGCGCGAAAGCUAGGGGAGCGAACGGGAUUAGAUACCCCGGUAGUCCUAGCCGUAAACGAUGGAUACUAGGUGUCGGGGGUAUCGACCCCUCCGGUGCCGCAGCUAACGCACUAAGUAUCCCGCCUGGGGAGUACGGCCGCAAGGUUG
This 373-nucleotide ribosomal RNA is filed under the name uncultured organism. Its description in RNAcentral is "bacterial SSU rRNA". It matches the Rfam family "Bacterial small subunit ribosomal RNA", at positions 526 to 896 of the family's 1533-position model. The record is from RNAcentral.